RNAcentral lists this ribosomal RNA (827 nucleotides) under Prochlorococcus sp. SCGC AAA298-G08. RNAcentral's name for it is "SSU rRNA". It matches the Rfam family "Bacterial small subunit ribosomal RNA", at positions 35 to 910 of the family's 1533-position model. Lineage: Bacteria; Bacillati; Cyanobacteriota; Cyanophyceae; Synechococcales; Prochlorococcaceae. The record is from RNAcentral.
GCUGGCGGCGUGCUUAACACAUGCAAGUCGAACGAACCUUCGGGUUAGUGGCGGACGGGUGAGUAACGCGUGAGAAUCUGCCCUCAGGAGGGGGAUAACGGUUGGAAACGACCGCUAAUACCCCAUAUGCCUACUGGUGAAAUGAAUUUCGCCUGAGGAUGAGCUCGCGUCUGAUUAGCUAGUUGGUGUGGUAAUGGCUCACCAAGGCUUCGAUCAGUAGCUGGUCUGAGAGGAUGAUCAGCCACACUGGGACUGAGACACGGCCCAGACUCCUACGGGAGGCAGCAGUGGGGAAUUUUCCGCAAUGGGCGAAAGCCUGACGGAGCAACGCCGCGUGAGGGACGAAGGCCUCUGGGCUGUAAACCUCUUUUCUCAAGGAAGAAGAUAUGACGGUACUUGAGGAAUAAGCCACGGCUAAUUCCGUGCCAGCAGCCGCGGUAAUACGGGAGUGGCAAGCGUUAUCCGGAAUUAUUGGGCGUAAAGCGUCCGCAGGCGGCUUUUCAAGUCUGCUGUUAAAACGUGGAGCUUAACUCCAUCAUGGCAGUGGAAACUGAAAGGCUUGAGUAUGGUAGGGGCAGAGGGAAUUCCCGGUGUAGCGGUGAAAUGCGUAGAUAUCGGGAAGAACACCAGUGGCGAAGGCGCUCUGCUGGGCCAUUACUGACGCUCAUGGACGAAAGCCAGGGGAGCGAAAGGGAUUAGAUACCCCUGUAGUCCUGGCCGUAAACGAUGAACACUAGGUGUCGGGGGAAUCGACCCCUUCGGUGUCGUAGCUAACGCGUUAAGUGUUCCGCCUGGGGAGUACGCACGCAAGUGUGAACUAAUGAUAG